RNAcentral lists this non-coding RNA (128 nucleotides) under marine eukaryotic metagenome. The record is from RNAcentral.
CUGGAGUUCUACCUCCAGUAUCCUACCCACCAUGCGACAGGAAUGUGGUGUGAAGCGCUGGGAACAAUGUACCCUGUUAAGAGGAACCGUGAGGGGAAUUGGAACUGCGAGUGUCACGCGGUCGGGGG